RNAcentral lists this ribosomal RNA (228 nucleotides) under uncultured bacterium. RNAcentral's name for it is "partial 16S ribosomal RNA". It matches the Rfam family "Bacterial small subunit ribosomal RNA", at positions 568 to 795 of the family's 1533-position model. The record is from RNAcentral.
UGCGUAGGCGGACUAAUAAGUCAGUGGUGAAAUCUCUCGGCUCAACCGGGAAACUGCCAUUGAUACUGUUAGUCUUGAGGUCGGUUGAGGUAGGCGGAAUGUGUAAUGUAGCGGUGAAAUGCUUAGAUAUUACACAGAACACCAAUUGCGUAGGCAGCUUACUAGACCGACACUGACGCUGAGGCACGAAAGCGUGGGUAGCGAACAGGAUUAGAUACCCUGGUAGUC